UUUCCGUAGGUGAACCUGCGGAAGGAUCAUUCAUAAUAAGUGUUUUAUGGCACUUUUUAAAUCCAUAUCCACCUUGUGUGCAAUGUCAUGGUUGAUAUUUCUCUCGAGAGGAUCAGCCCCAAACAUCAACUAUAUCUCAACUCUUUGUCUGAAAAAUAUUAUGAAUAAAACAAUUCAAAAUACAACUUUCAACAACGGAUCUCUUGGCUCUC
Molecule: unclassified non-coding RNA, 212 nt
Filed under: plant metagenome
Description: partial contains small subunit ribosomal RNA, internal transcribed spacer 1, and 5.8S ribosomal RNA
Source: RNAcentral